AUCGGUCGAGGAUCUUAACAGUACUGGGACGACUGGCGAGGACGCGCUCUCGUGCCACCUUCAGUUCCAGUAGCUGUAGUUUCCUCCGCAAUGCCCUGCUUUCUUUCUGGCUUUGAGUUAUUUCCAAACGAAACACUGCAUAGUCGUCGUCUACGAGUUUACAGAUGUCUGCCACGGCUGCAUUUGCUAGUACCUCCAUGAUGGAGGCUAUUUGAGUGUGAAAAACCAUACAGUUAGCCAUUGUUAGCAGGUAGCUAGCGUUAUCUUGAUAACAUCUAUCAACCAAGUCCUGUCUUCAACGCGAAUUAAACACUGCCUGGUGUGCCUCUUUAGCUGGUGCUGUUGAGAGAACCUCUUCUCACACUGGGGGCAGCUGUAGGAUUUUUCCAGUGUGGACCCUCUGGGGCCGCUUCAGGGUGGAGAAACUGGCCUAGCAGAGGUGGCAGCCGAACGGGUUUACCCCUGUGUGCAUCCUCUGAUGGAUCUUUGAAUGAACUGGCGCACUCACAGCCUGGAAGGAUGGUCCCCUUUAAACCCUCUGUAGAUCUUCUAAAAUCUCUUACACCCAAAAAUAUAUCUGCUGCAGCCACAUCUACAGGUAACUGCUACCACAUCUACAGGUAACUGCUGCCACAUCUACAGGUAACUGCUGCCACGUCUACAGGUAACUGCUGCCACAUCUACAGGUAAUUGCUGCCACAUCUACAGGUAACUGCCAAAAUAAAGGGAACGCCAACAUAAGUGUCUUAAUUGGGCGUUGGGCCAACAUGAGCCAGAACAGCUUUAAUGCGCCUUGGCAUAUAUUCUACAAAUGUCUGGAAAUCUAUUUGGAGGGAUGCGACAUCUAUUUAUCCACAAGACAGUCCAUAAUUUGGUGUUUUGUUGAUAGUGGUGGGAAAGUCUCAGGCGCCGCUCCAGAAUCUCCCAUAAGUGUUCAAGUUGGUUGAUAUCUGGUUACUGAGAUGACCAUGGCAUAUGGUUUACACAAUUUAUGCUCAUCAAACCAUUCAGUGACCACUCGCACCCUGUGAAUGGGGACAUUGUCAUUCUAUGGAGGCAUAGCCACGGUAGCCAAAAUAAUGGCCUACCCAGUAUUUUUAUACAUGACCCUAAGCAUGAUGGGAUGUUAAUUGCUUAAUUAACUCAGGAACCAAACCUGUGUGGAAGCAUCUGCUUUCAAUAUACUUUGCAUCCCUCAUUUACUCAAUUGUUUCCAUUAUUUUGGCAGUUAACUGUAUUUUCUGGGAUUUACACUCCAUCAGUGCAGGACAGUUAAUAACCGUAGCAAUAAAUGCAAGAUACCCUACUUUACUAAAACUCAUCCUCUCUAGUGCUCUCUCUUCAGGCCUAUUCACUCACCCUUGGGCUGUCCUCUAUUCUCUUCACUGCCUCAGCAUAGGACACUUUCUGCACCACUCGAAUUCUGUCUAUCCCAACACUCUCUGACUAUGCCCUCCUGCACAUUUCUCACAUUGUGGGAUCUCCCCUCUAGACAUUGCUGCAACGUGUCUGAAUCCUUUGCAACUGAAGCACCAUAGCGGGUUCGGAACAUAGGCCUCACAGAAUAGCAAAUAUGACCUAACCUGACCUUAUCAGGUAGAAACUCUGUGUCAUAGUUCAAGACAGAUAGGGUAUUCUCAGUCUUGCCAUUGCCACCGGAUCUACGUCUCAACAAACGGCAGACGUCACAAACACCAGAAAUAUUCAUUUUCAGUUGAUCCACCUCUACACUCAAUGCUACCUGCUCCAGAGAGCAAAGCACGACACAGGUCGAUCCUGAGGAAUGUGACACGGAGCGCCCGCUGCCUCUGGGCAAAGGAUGCACAAAAGAAAAAGAAAAGCGUAACAAUUCUACUUCUCAAAACUUAGAAUACAUCUUUAUUCAUCCCCGAGAGGCAAUUCGUUCAGGGCUGACGGUGCUUCAGACAGGACAAACACACACACAGUAUAUUUCUUUUAAAGUAAGAGCCAAAAGAAAAACUAAGGCAUCAGUUAAAAGUGCAUGGUGCCAUUUUAAGUCCAUGGUAGCCACCGUUCUUAGUUUAGCCCUGCCAUUAAUUAUCUCCAGAAUAGUCCCUAGGUCUUCAUUAAUUGUCCUGUUAACCAGGCGAUUGGCCUCGGGCACAAACAACACCCUGCGCCUAUUGGUGGAACACUUGAGAAAGCACAGGCGACGUCCCAAAGGGGAGCAGAUGGAGCUGCGGGUUGAGGACACGGUGCUCUCCUCCACAAUGUCAUAGGCUUUCCUCCAGACUUCUGAAAGGCACCCCGGUGAUCUUUGAGCAGGUGUUCACAAUGGCUUGAAGCCAGUAUCUGUUCUUGACAGAGAGGGAUGUAAAACAGCAUACGAAGGACAACACAGAAUGCUCUCGUUGAAAGAACUGUAAAAAUGAUUGCAAUAUUGAUUUGUGGACACUUAAUGAGUUCAGUUUCCUGAGGAAGUAUUGUGUCUGCUAUUUUGAUGAUGGUCGUCUGUGUUUUGCUCAAACUUCCGGGUGUUAUCAAAGAUGGUACCAAGAUAUUUAUACUGGUCCACAUUGUCCACCUCCUCUCCAUCAAUGAUCAUCAUACUGGCGGGCUUCCUCCUGAAGUCGACAAUAAUUGUAUUUUGUCUUAAAGACAUUCAACUCCAGCAGCGUACUGCCACACCAGUCAAUGAAGUCCUGGAUGGCUGGGCCAUGGUCAGGCUCUUGAGAGGAGUGACUGGAGGACUGAGUCAUCGGCAAACUUCAUAAAAUGGCGGUUGGUGUGGGCACUCAGUCAUUGGUGUAGAAAAUAAAAAGGAGGGGUGGCACCCUUGUGGUGAACCUGUGCAAGUGAGUAGAGUGUCUAACGUGGCCCCAUUAGCAUAGACUCUCCAUAAUCCACAAGUUAAGGCUGUGGUCCUUAUUGGUUGGCGAAUAGUUCAAAGGGUGUGGUUAAAUUAAAAAGUUAUUUACGCUGUUCUUUGAAAUACAGUACUGCUUAUUACAUUACACAUCAAAUCUCUUAUGAUCAGUAUCUUUCAAGCUGAGCGCAGACUUGUUUAGAAAGAACAGUGUGUUAGCAAGAAUAGAGUAGAAAAUAAUAUAAUUACUUUAUUCCAUCUACAUCACCUCAGUAAGGUAAAUAUUCAACUGUCCUUGUUCUAGCCUAGAUGUACUGUCUCUUAAAAACAAGUUAACAAAGUGUUAAUGAGGGGGUAUGUUGUUAAUUACACUCUUACCAAGACACUUCACAUGAUAACUAUAAUAUGUCAGCUAAAGAAUGAUUCCCUGACAUCCCCUGCGUACAUCUGAAGACACACUGCUACGAUUUCUCCCCGUUGUGGACACUCCUAUGUCUGAUAAGCUCUUGUAGUUUAGUCUGCACUUGAAGGGUGUGAACGGUCUGGUGCUGCUUCACAUAGUUAGCCUCAGUAAAGCGCUUUCCACACGUGGGGCAGACGUACGGCUUGUCGGUGUCCGUCUUAAUGCUUGGCCUCCCACGUUGUGACCCAAUGACACCAGAGGUAGAAACGGGAGUCACCACCCUCAAGUGGUUAGUCUUUGAGCUCCCUCCUUGACCUCUAGCCAUUGUUUGGGUGUUGUUGGGAUUGUGUGCUGUGUUAUAGGCUAGGUGAACGCCCAUCCUGACCUUGUCUGUAUUGGUGGGGUAAUCAUGAGGUAACUGCGGAAGGCUAGACCCAGGUCCAGGCCUUCUAUGGACCCAGUCACCGGGCAUUAGAUGUGACCCUGAAGGAGAAGACAGACUUCCUGUUAGACUCCCACCAGGGGGGUCUCGCACAGCUCUCUGUGAAGGCUGAAGCCCAGGGUGACCUGCUCUGUUAAUCAUGGAUACUGUGGUGUUUGUAUCAUAGGAACAGGAGGGUCUAUCUCUAUCAGCCCCAGGCCCUGCUUCAUCACUGCACUGAGACUGUGAAGAGAAGGAUCUGGGCUGCAGACUGGAUCCAUGACUGGAGCCUCUGUCUCUCUGAUGACCACCAGGACUGAGGUUGUUUAGUCCACCUGUCCACUGGUUGUGUUCUGUGUAAUGGUGGUGGAGUGUCUGUCCCUUACGGUUGGGUUCUGGUUCUGACUCUGGAAGGAAGAGCGACGGCUCCUGAUCCAUAAUCUGGUGCCAGGGUUUGUGACCAGCCGCUUCAGAGGUCCAGUCUCUCCCGCCAGUAACACCGGAUAUCAGCAAGUCUUCAUGGACUGCAGACUGCAAACAAAGAUGGUACAGAAAAGCAUAAAGGUUUAUGUAAGAAACUCUUUGCUUUACACACAAACAUGACAUUAUUAUAAAAUAUUAACCACAGUCAAGCCCAUCUCUAACACUGUGAUUUAAGUACCUAACAAUAUGGAGCCAUUGGAAUCUUUGCAAUGAUACAAAAAUAACCAAGUCAGACAGCACCGAGUGAAUUUAGUAUUUAAUUUAAACAAAAUGGCAUUACAAUCACAUUUAUUGCACAAAACGAUACGUGACAAGAAUAACUUCUCACUAUGGUAACACUAUACCUUUUCUGUAAAUCUGGUACCCUCGCUUUGAUAAAAUUAAUUUUAGAAUACUUUGGAAAAGGUUCAAUACAACAUUACACACAGCUUCACAACUUAAUGUCAAGUAAACAUGAAGUAAGGCACUAUUGCUCAUAUUGAGGUAUAUACAGUACCAGUCAAACGUUUGGACACCUACUCAUUCCAGGGUUUUUAUUUUAUUUUUAGUAUUUUCUACAUUGUCGAACAAUAGUGAAGACAUCAAGGCAAAAGGUGGCUACUUCGAAGAAUCUCAAACAUAAAAUAUAUAGUUGAUGUCUUCACUAUUAUUCUACAAUGUAAAAAGAAAAACCCUGGAAUGAGUCUGUGUCCAAACGUUUGACUGGUACUGUAUAUACCUCAAUAUGUGCAAUUCAAUGUUAUUUACAUAUUUGUAUUAUUACAUUUUUUGGGGGGUCAGUCUUAUGUCUGGAGUAUUUCUCCUGUCUUAUCUGGUGUCCUGUGUGAAUUGAAGUAUGCUCCCUCUAAUUCUCUCUCUUUCUCCUCUCGGAGGACCUGAGCCCUAGGACCAUGCCUCAGGACUACCUGGCCUGAUGACUCCUUGCUGUCCCCAGUCCACCUGGUCAUGCUGCUGCUCCAGUUUCAACUGUUCUGCCUGCGGCUAUGAAACCCUGACCUGUUCACCUGACGUGCUACCUUGUCCCGACAUUUACUCCUGAGGUGCUGACCUGUUGCACCCUCUACAACCACUGAUUAUUAUUAUUUGAAUCUGCUGGUCAUCUAUGAACGUUUGAACAUCUUUGGCCGUGUACUGUUAUAAUCUCCACCCGGCACAGCCAGAAGAGGACUGGCCACCCCGCAGAGCCUGGUUCCUCUCUAGGUUUCUUCCUAGGUUCCUGCCUUUCUAGGGAAUUUUUCCAAGCCACUAUGCUUCUACAUCUGCAUUGCUUGCUGUUUGGGGUUUUAGGCUGGGUUUCUGUAUAGCACUUUGUGAUAUUGGCUGAUGUAAAAAGGGCUUUAUAAAUAAACGUGAUUGAUUGAACUAAGAGCAUUCAAGUCAAAUCAAAUUUUAUUGGUCUCAGCAGAUGUUAAUGCAUUAGCAGAUGUUAAUGCGAGUGUAGCAAAAUGCUUGUAGCUAAGUCAACACGGAGCCAUGCUGACUGACAAGUGGCGUGGAUUGGUACAGCUCGGCUCAGUCCCAAAUUGCGUGUUAUUAUUUGGCUAAAUUAUCAUCCGUAGUUGCCUACAGCCACAGCAGUCUUAACAAAAUGGACUGUUACCUUGAUUGCAACAGUAAGGUGGUAAAACAUUUAAACUCCUUUUGAACUGUGACAUUUCCUGACAACUUGUUCUCUUUCUCUUUCUCUAGACAGAGUUAUGGAUGCAAGGACAGGCCAUGGCUCCUCCUAAAACCCCAUUGGAGGAGACGGCCCAAGGUUCCUCGCCUCAGACCUCUUCCAAUGGGUUUUAAGAAGGAUGCGAGUAGAGGAAAUGGCUCUGGCUUGCUGAUGAAAUCUGAUGAAACUCCCUAUACGAUUUGACCCCUGUAUUAGACCUGUAAAACUUUCAAUGCCAAAUUGAAAUCGUUCAAGAUUCUGUAAUUGAUAGACAAUGAUGGGUCCCAAUCAGCCAAUUACUAUACAUCAAAUCUGUUUCUCAGUGCAAUGUUUGGUGAAUGCAUGGCAUUGUUUUUACCUCAGUCCUCCUUUGAAUGCUGUGUAUACUGAUUCAAUUCUAAACGACCAUCAUCGAGUCCAUCCUCACCUCCUUGAUCAUUGCAAUGAUUGGCCGGUCUGCUGAGAGGGUUAUUGGCUGCCACCUGCCCUCCAUUGAGGUCUUACAUGACUCUAGGGCAAGGAACCGUACAGGAAAGAUCAUCGCCGACCCCUUCCACCAUCUCUUCCAAACGGUUCAGGUCAAUCACGACCAAAACCCGUCCCGCCACCUAAACAGUUUCUUCCACCGAGCCGUGGCCCUCACCAACCGGCCACCUGGUUCACGAUGAUUCUCUCGUCUAUGGACUUUGCACCCUGCACCAUUAUCCCAGAGCUGCACAUUGCUCUUUGCACUCUCUGCAUAUCGCUUAAAUGCAUCAUUUAUCAUGUAUCUUAUAGUUUAGUCUAAAGUUUUGUGGAUCUGUGGAAAUUCUGAGUCUAUAUAUUUUGUCUGUUUAUUGUGACAGCACCAUUUCAGAGUCAAAUUCCUGUACAUGCAAAUAUAUUUGGGGAAUAAAGCUGAUUCUGACAUGUUUA
Long non-coding RNA from Salvelinus fontinalis (brook trout), 6706 nucleotides. RefSeq lists it as uncharacterized. The transcript has 3 exons. NCBI's taxonomy places the organism in Eukaryota, Metazoa, Chordata, Actinopteri, Salmoniformes, Salmonidae. The record is from RefSeq and is a predicted model, not a curated record.